UAAGACGUAGGGGGCGAGCGUUGUCCGGAUUUAUUGGGCGUAAAGCGCGCGUAGGCGGCCCGUUAAGUCGGUUGUGAAAACCCGGGGCUCAACCCCGGGCCCGCAUCCGAUACUGGCGGGCUAGAGGCAGGUAGGGGAGAGCGGAAUUCCCGGUGUAGCGGUGAAAUGCGCAGAUAUCGGGAGGAACACCGGUGGCGAAGGCGGCUCUCUGGGCCUGUCCUGACGCUCAGGCGCGAAAGCUAGGGGAGCAAACAGGAUUAGAUACCCUGGUAGUCCUAGCCGUAAACGUUGGGUGCUAGGUGUGGGGCGGCGUUUGACCCGUCCUGUGCCGAAGCUAACGCAUUAAGCACCCCGCCUGGGGAGUACGGCCGCAAGGCUA
Molecule: ribosomal RNA, 379 nt
Filed under: uncultured bacterium
Lineage: Bacteria
Description: bacterial SSU rRNA
Rfam family: Bacterial small subunit ribosomal RNA
Source: RNAcentral